CUGUUAUAAUUUAUUGAGUAUACCUAUAUUAUAUUAUAUAAAUAUAUUACUUUAAAUGGGUUAAUAAUUUGUAUGUUGUAGCAAAAAAAAUGUCUGAUUAUUUCCAACAAACUAACACUAUAAAUCAAUCGGAAAAUAAUGAUGGAAACAAAAAGGACGAGACACAGAAGUUAAUUUAAGAAAUGAAAUUCGAGAUUUAAAGGAAUGUUUAAAACAGAAAAGUUUGGAUAUAAUGAUCUCUGAAAAAAUAGCAAGUUUACAUCUCAAAGAAUCUUUAGCCGCAGUUAAAGAACACCUGUAUAACCUUCAAUUGUAAAGUAAUGUCACUUGAAAACUAUCGCUGCAAAUGUGCAAGGAGACCAAUAAUGAAAUACUAAUUGUAUUUUAUUUACUUUAUACCACUAUUUAAUUACUUUAAACCCUUAACUGGAACUAUUCAAUUUAAAAAUCAAUUAUUUUUUUGCUUUUUAUUUUUAGCAAUUUCUUUGAUUAGUUUUAUCAAAGUUCUUUCAACUGUACUGUUUAUAUUACAAUGUAACUUAGUUAUAUUUAUUUAUUUUUCUAAUUUAUCAAAUUUAUGUUAAUAAAUACCUUAGAGUAAUGAAUUUAAUGGAUACAAACAAAUGUCAAUUGUUACUAU
RNAcentral lists this long non-coding RNA (640 nucleotides) under Acyrthosiphon pisum (pea aphid). RNAcentral's name for it is "uncharacterized LOC103307672, transcript variant X1". Lineage: Eukaryota; Metazoa; Arthropoda; Insecta; Hemiptera; Aphididae. The record is from RNAcentral.